RNAcentral lists this ribosomal RNA (253 nucleotides) under uncultured bacterium. RNAcentral describes it as "partial 16S ribosomal RNA". It matches the Rfam family "Bacterial small subunit ribosomal RNA", at positions 524 to 776 of the family's 1533-position model. The record is from RNAcentral.
UACGGAGGGUGCAAGCGUUGUCCGGAUUUAUUGGGUUUAAAGGGUGCGUAGGCGGCUUUUUAAGUCAGUGGUGAAAGACAACAGCUCAACUGUUGCAGUGCCAUUGAUACUGAAGAGCUUGAGUACAGAUUAGGUAGGCGGAAUUUAUGGUGUAGCGGUGAAAUGCAUAGAUACCAUAAAGAACACCUAUUGCGAAGGCAGCUUACUAAGCUGUAACUGACGCUGAGGCACGAAAGUGUGGGGAUCAAACAGG